Non-coding RNA from Solanum tuberosum (potato), 69 nucleotides. The record is from RefSeq and is marked provisional. NCBI's taxonomy places the organism in Eukaryota, Viridiplantae, Streptophyta, Magnoliopsida, Solanales, Solanaceae.
GUUCUCUUGACCGCUUCAUUAGGGUUUACUUCGUUGUUUGAUGCCCUGCUGAAGUGUUUGGGGGAACUC